This 176-nucleotide ribosomal RNA is filed under the name uncultured Gammaproteobacteria bacterium. RNAcentral describes it as "partial 16S ribosomal RNA". It matches the Rfam family "Bacterial small subunit ribosomal RNA", at positions 335 to 503 of the family's 1533-position model. Lineage: Bacteria; Pseudomonadati; Pseudomonadota; Gammaproteobacteria. The record is from RNAcentral.
ACUCCUACGGGAGGCAGCAGUGGGGAAUAUUGGACAAUGGGCGCAAGCCUGAUCCAGCCAUACCGGCGUGUGUGAAGAAGGCUUUCGGGUUGUAAAGCACUUUCAGUGAGGAGGAAGGCCUUAAGUUUAAUACGCUUGAGGAUUGACGNACCCACAGAAGAAGCACCGGCUACUCC